UACGUAGGGAGCAAGCGUUGUCCGGAAUCAUUGGGCGUAAAGCGCGCGUAGGUGGCCCCAUAAGUCCGCUGUGAAAGUCAAAGGCUCAACCUUUGAAAGCCGGUGGAUACUGUGGGACUAGAGUACGGAAGAGGCGAGUGGAAUUCCUGGUGUAGCGGUGGAAUGCGCAGAUAUCAGGAGGAACACCAAUAGCGAAGGCAGCUCGCUGGGACGUUACUGACACUGGGGCGCGAAAGCGUGGGGAGCGAACAGG
RNAcentral lists this ribosomal RNA (253 nucleotides) under uncultured bacterium. RNAcentral's name for it is "partial 16S ribosomal RNA". It matches the Rfam family "Bacterial small subunit ribosomal RNA", at positions 524 to 776 of the family's 1533-position model. The record is from RNAcentral.